Molecule: transfer RNA, 73 nt
Filed under: Loxodonta africana (African savanna elephant)
Lineage: Eukaryota; Metazoa; Chordata; Mammalia; Proboscidea; Elephantidae
Rfam family: tRNA
About the family: Transfer RNA (tRNA) molecules are approximately 80 nucleotides in length. Their secondary structure includes four short double-helical elements and three loops (D, anti-codon, and T loops). Further hydrogen bonds mediate the characteristic L-shaped molecular structure. tRNAs have two regions of fundamental functional importance: the anti-codon, which is responsible for specific mRNA codon recognition, and the 3' end, to which the tRNAs corresponding amino acid is attached (by aminoacyl-tRNA synthetases). tRNAs cope with the degeneracy of the genetic code in two manners: having more than one tRNA (with a specific anti-codon) for a particular amino acid; and 'wobble' base-pairing, i.e. permitting non-standard base-pairing at the 3rd anti-codon position.
Source: Rfam by way of RNAcentral
GCUCCAGUGGACUAAUGGGUACAGCAUUGGCCUUCUAAGCCAGGAUUUGUGGGUUUGGGACCCACCUGGAGCA